GAUCCGCUAGCUCAGUUGGCAGAGCAACUGCCUUUUAAGCAGUGGGUCCGGGGUUCGAAUCCCCGGCGGGUCA
This 73-nucleotide transfer RNA is filed under the name Firmicutes bacterium CAG:110. It matches the Rfam family "tRNA". From Rfam's summary of the family: Transfer RNA (tRNA) molecules are approximately 80 nucleotides in length. Their secondary structure includes four short double-helical elements and three loops (D, anti-codon, and T loops). Lineage: Bacteria; Bacillati; Bacillota. The record is from Rfam by way of RNAcentral.